AUGGGCGCGUCGUCGUCCCCGGCGCCGUCGGGCGACGGCGAGGCGACUGCGGGGCGCGGGUCGAGCCAGGAGGCGAUGAAGAUAAUGGUAUCCGUGCUGGUGGUGGUCAUCUUCUGCACGCUCUUCUACUGCAUCUACUGCUGGCGCUGGCGGAAGCGCAACGCCGUGAGGAGAUCGCUGCUCCAGAGCCUGCGGCCGAUGUCGAGCUCGGACCUGCCGCUCAUGGACCUCGCCUCCAUCCACGCCGCCACCGACAACUUCUCCAAGGCCAACAAGCUCGGCGAGGGCGGCUUCGGCCCUGUCUACAGAGGCGUGCUGACGGGCGGGUCGGAGAUCGCGGUGAAGCGGCUGUCGGCGCGGUCGCGGCAGGGCGCGGCAGAGUUCCGGAACGAGGUGGAGCUGAUCGCCAAGCUGCAGCACCGCAACCUGGUGCGGCUGCUGGGCUGGUGCGCCGAGCGCGACGAGAAGCUGCUGGUCUACGAGUACCUCCCCAACCGCAGCCUCGACGCCUUCCUCUUCGAUGCAAGCAAGAGCGCGCAGCUGGACUGGAAAACCCGGCACAGCAUCAUCCUGGGCAUCGCCCGCGGGCUGCUCUACCUCCACGAGGACUCGCUGCUCAAGGUCGUCCACCGGGACCUCAAGGCCAGCAACGUGCUCCUCGACAACAAGAUGAGGCCCAAGAUCUCCGACUUCGGCAUGGCCAAGAUCUUCGAGGACGAGUGCAUCGAGGUUAACACCGGCCGCGUCGUCGGAACCUACGGGUACAUGGCGCCGGAGUUCGUGAUGGAGGGCGUGUUCUCGGUCAAGUCGGACGUGUUCAGCUUCGGGGUCCUUCUCAUCGAGAUCCUCGGCGGCAAGCGGAACGGCGCGCUCUACCUCGAGGAGCACGAGCAGACCCUCAUCCAAGACGCAUGGAAGAGCUGGACGGAGGAGAAGGCGGCCGAGUUCAUGGACCCGGCGCUGGGGCGGGCCUACUCCAAGGAGGAGGCGUGGCGGUGCUUCCACGUGGGACUCCUCUGCGUGCAGGACGACCCGGAGCUCCGGCCGACCAUGUCCAGCGUCCUGCUCAUGCUCAUCAGCGACCACAUGAACCUGCCCGCGCCGGCCAGGCCGCCCAUGUUCACCCGGCUGAGGACCUUCCCGGCGGCGAUGAUCCCCUUCUCCACCAAGACCGAGUCCACCUUCUCGCCCCAGUCCAUCAACGACGUCUCCAUCACCGUCGUCGAGCCGCGAUGA
This 1236-nucleotide ribosomal RNA is filed under the name Triticum aestivum (bread wheat). Its description in RNAcentral is "partial small subunit ribosomal RNA". Lineage: Eukaryota; Viridiplantae; Streptophyta; Magnoliopsida; Poales; Poaceae. The record is from RNAcentral.